CUACGGGAUUCGUGGACAUUGGCUACGUAGUUCAAUGUGCACGUUUUGUGCACAUAAAAGCGCUAGCCCACAGAAACACGUAAAAUGCGGGCAUGUCCACUCUGCUGGUAGUAUCCUCUCCAUUCAGCUACUUGCUUCUUGCGUCUCAAACAGUCUCAAAUCUGACUAUGGCUUAGUUUACACCGAUUGUUUAGUACGCGUACCAAAUACUAAAUCUGCUUCUGCGAUAGCCGUGCGGGAAGGGUGCAUUAUCAAGUUAUUAAGAAGAAGAAUAAAUAUGGCCGCAAGGAGGAGCUUUCUGGUGCCAUUACACAUCUACUAAAAUGCUAAAAAAAUACAUUUCACAUGUAAAAAAUUUUAAAUGAGGAGGACGUUGUGAAAAUGACCAUGAGAAUAGACGUGAGAAUAGCCAUGGCAGUAGCUAUGAUGGUGCUGGAAGUAGUACCAAGUUUUUGUAAAGAAGGUUCUCUAUAAAGACAAUAAAGUAAUGGUUGAGGAAGACAAGGAAAAAGUGGUUUUAAAACUGAAAAGAAUGUAAUAAUAAAACCACAGUGUCAAAGAGGAUUACUCAUAGCUGAAGGAAGAUGCUUUAAUGACUUCAAGUUUAGUAUUUGGAAUAUCAGUAUAUGGAAAAAAAGAGAAUCGACAGUGAGGUUCUGCAUCAGGAAUCAACACUAUAUCCCAUAUUGCAGAUGAAGGGAUUGUGUUUGCAGUGGAAUUUUCUUAUAGAAGAGUCAGAGAUCUUAGAGACAUUGCUAACAGAAGGAGUAACAUUCUUAUAGUUGGAGAUGCAAGACACUCUUGUAAAUACAGAAUGCUAAUAGGAAUGACGAAAUCUAAAUAUAAACCGACUUGCAACACCUAAAACAGUAUUUGCAGUAGAAGUAAAGAAACAAAAAGCUGACAAUUUGAAACAGCAGAAACAAAUCAUGGAUCCAUAUGAUAGAAAUCACAUUAUUGUGGCUGGUCUACAAGGUGCUGAAAAAAGCUGCUUAAAAUUAUUUAUAUAAAUAUGUAUAAAUAUAUAUAAAUGUUAAUUGCUAAAUU
Non-coding RNA from Linepithema humile (Argentine ant), 1047 nucleotides. Lineage: Eukaryota; Metazoa; Arthropoda; Insecta; Hymenoptera; Formicidae. The record is from RefSeq and is a predicted model, not a curated record.